GCUAAAAAUAUAGCCCAACCCAUUUCUUAUGUACACUUAAAUUUUUUCUUUUCCCCCAUAAAGCAUUCUUAUGAUCUAGUAAAGGUGAUUAAAAAAUCAAUUGGAGCAAUAAAACUAGUACCGCAAGGGAAGAAUGAAAUAAAAUGAAAAAUGUUCAAGCAUAAAAAAGUAGAGAUUACAUCUCGUACCUUUUGCAUCAUGGUUUAAUUAGUCACAAUCAAGCAAAAAGUUUUUGUUUGACCCCCCGAAACCAGACGAGCUACUUCAAGGCAGCUAACGAGCCAACCCGUCUCUGUUGCAAAAGAGUGGGAAGACCUUCUAGUAGAGGUGACAAACCUAUCGAGCCUGGUGAUAGCUGGUUAUUCAAGAAAAGAAUUUUAGUUCAACCUAAAGCCAACUUAGCCUAACAAGGCAAAACCCUUGCUUUAGAGCAAUUCAAAUAAGGUACAGCCUAUUUGAAACAGGACACAACCUAUACUAACGGACAAACUUAAUUUUUUUAACCAAGUCGGCCUAAAAGCAGCCACCUUAAUAAUAGCGUCAAAGCUUACUUUUUUCCCCCCUCCCCCAAUCUCCCAAAUUAUCAAAAACCCUUCACCCCUAUUGAAUAAUUCUAUACCCCUAUAGAACCUUUUAUAUUAAAACUAGUAACAAGAAGAACGCCCUUCUCUUAGAUACAAGUGUACAUCAGAACGGACAAACCACUGAUAUUUAACACACCUGAAAACAAAUUAACAACUAACCAAGAAAAACUUAUUUUUCCUAAUGUUAACCUUACACAAGAGUAUCCCAAGAAAGAUUAAAAGAAAAAGAAGGAACUCGGCAAAUAUUAACCCCGCCUGUUUACCAAAAACAUCGCCUCUUGCCUCACAUAAGAGGUCCAGCCUGCCCAGUGACUAUUGUUUAACGGCCGCGGUAUCCUGACCGCGCAAAGGUAGCGCAAUCACUUGUCUUUUAAAUGAAGACUAGUAUGAACGGCACCACGAGGAUUAUACUGUCUCCUUUCUCUAAUCAGUGAAACUAAUCUCCCCGUGAAAAAGCGGGUAUACAAAUAUAAGACGAGAAGACCCUAUGGAGCUUUAAACUAAUAACAAUCGUUCCCCCUUCCAGUACUUUAACUAAACUCAACGACAUGAUUAAAAGUUUUCGGUUGGGGCGACCACGGAGAAAAAAAUAACCUCCACAUUGAACGGGACUAACCCCUGAGCAAAAAACCACAACUUCCUGCACCAAUAAAUUGACAUUUCUUGACCCAAUAUUUUGACCAAUGAACCAAGUUACCCUAGGGAUAACAGCGCAAUCCACUUCAAGAGCCCCUAUCGACAAGCGGGUUUACGACCUCGAUGUUGGAUCAGGGUAUCCCAGUGGCGCAGCCGCUACAAAAGGUUCGUUUGUUCAACGAUUGAAACCCU
This 1412-nucleotide ribosomal RNA is filed under the name Myersiohyla inparquesi. RNAcentral's name for it is "partial 16S ribosomal RNA". It matches the Rfam family "Bacterial large subunit ribosomal RNA", at positions 372 to 2597 of the family's 2925-position model. Lineage: Eukaryota; Metazoa; Chordata; Amphibia; Anura; Hylidae. The record is from RNAcentral.